UAGAAAUUACAAAUGACUAGGCCCCCAAGACUUGGUUAGCUAGGUGAUCUGUCAUCGUCGAAAGCAACAUUAGUUUUACAAAAGUUCAACUUGACGUACAGUUGUUGCUAUUUUAUUGUUAUCUGAUACAUAUAGACCUGUUCGGCAGCAGUUUUUUAGAUGUCGAUGAUGAUGCAUUGAUGCUUUCGAUCUGUCUCCCACAUAAUGCUAGCAACCCCUAUACUUUCAUAAGCAGCCAAACAGGCCAUACUAGACUACUGCUGGCACUAACCCAAGCUAAGGUUAUAUAAAUAAUGGGCCCAAUGCAAAGCCCAGUUGGUGGAUAUUCCUAUAUGCAUGAACGCAUCAAACAAAACAUGCACAUGGAGGCACCUAAUGCUUCAAAACAAAACAAAUCACUCACACUCAGCCAUUGGGUUAGGUGGAGACUUGUAUGGUACUGAUCUUUGAGGAAAACAGCACAAGGUUUUUUUUGAUGAAAACAGGAGAGGCUUGAGCCCCUACUGAAAUUAAUAGAAACAAAAAAUAGCGGGCUAAUCUAGAUUUUGCAGGGGAAAAAACGAGAACAGAGAAGGAGAAAGAAUAGUAGGGAACAUGGAAACUAAGAAAAAAAAAUAAAAGAAAGAUAAGGAAAAGGCAGGCUAAUCUAGAUUUUGCAGGCGUUCUUGAAUUUCUAGGAAGUAUGAGGUUUUAAAUAGCGGGCUAAGGUGUUUAGCGGCUUAUGUCUAAAACAGCUAAUAAUGGAGCUAAAUCAGGCUAUAGCGGGAUAUAGCGGUUAAAUUAUACAUGAAUACAAAUAGCGGUAUCCUGCCUCAAAAGGCUAUAGCGGGCUAUAGCGGCAGCUAUAGCGGGAGAUUUAAAACUAUGAAAGUAUCACUUGUUUGCUCGCC
RNAcentral lists this long non-coding RNA (890 nucleotides) under Sorghum bicolor (sorghum). RNAcentral describes it as "long non-coding RNA (SBIC_LNC008570)". Lineage: Eukaryota; Viridiplantae; Streptophyta; Magnoliopsida; Poales; Poaceae. The record is from RNAcentral.